This 253-nucleotide ribosomal RNA is filed under the name uncultured bacterium. RNAcentral's name for it is "partial 16S ribosomal RNA". It matches the Rfam family "Bacterial small subunit ribosomal RNA", at positions 524 to 776 of the family's 1533-position model. The record is from RNAcentral.
UACGAAGGGGGCUAGCGUUGCUCGGAAUCACUGGGCGUAAAGGGUGCGUAGGCGGGUUUUUAAGUCAGGGGUGAAAUCCUGGAGCUCAACUCCAGAACUGCCUUUGAUACUGAAGAUCUCGAGUCCGGGAGAGGUGAGUGGAACUCCGAGUGUAGAGGUGAAAUUCGUAGAUAUUCGGAAGAACACCAGUGGCGAAGGCGGCUCACUGGUCCGGUACUGACGCUGAUGUGCGAAAGCGUGGGGAGCAAACAGG